This 77-nucleotide transfer RNA is filed under the name Tolypothrix sp. FACHB-123. Its description in RNAcentral is "tRNA-Glu". It matches the Rfam family "tRNA". From Rfam's summary of the family: Transfer RNA (tRNA) molecules are approximately 80 nucleotides in length. Their secondary structure includes four short double-helical elements and three loops (D, anti-codon, and T loops). Further hydrogen bonds mediate the characteristic L-shaped molecular structure. tRNAs have two regions of fundamental functional importance: the anti-codon, which is responsible for specific mRNA codon recognition, and the 3' end, to which the tRNAs corresponding amino acid is attached (by aminoacyl-tRNA synthetases). tRNAs cope with the degeneracy of the genetic code in two manners: having more than one tRNA (with a specific anti-codon) for a particular amino acid; and 'wobble' base-pairing, i.e. permitting non-standard base-pairing at the 3rd anti-codon position. The record is from RNAcentral. Lineage: Bacteria; Bacillati; Cyanobacteriota; Cyanophyceae; Nostocales; Tolypothrichaceae.
GGCAGUGUAGCUUAGUGGUAAAGCGCCUACCCUCUCAAGGUAGGAGGAUAACCGUUUGAUUCGGUUCACUGCCACCA